RNAcentral lists this ribosomal RNA (494 nucleotides) under uncultured bacterium. RNAcentral describes it as "partial 16S ribosomal RNA". It matches the Rfam family "Bacterial small subunit ribosomal RNA", at positions 28 to 507 of the family's 1533-position model. The record is from RNAcentral.
GACGAACGCUGGCGGCGUGCUUUAGGCAUGCAAGUCGAACGCGAAAGCCCCUUCGGGGGUGAGUAGAGUGGCGAACGGGUGAGUAACACGUGGGUAACCUGCCCCUCGCAGGGGGAUAACCGGGGGAAACCCCGGCUAAUACCCCGUACGCUUGCUGGGGCGCAUGCUCCGGCAAGGAAAGGUAGCUUCGGCCAUCCGGCGAGGGAGGGGCCCGCGGCCCAUUAGCUAGUUGGUGGGGUAACGGCCCACCAAGGCGACGAUGGGUAGCUGGCCUGAGAGGGUGGUCAGCCACCCUGGGACUGAGACACGGCCCAGACUCCUACGGGAGGCAGCAGCCAGGAAUCUUGCGCAAUGGGCGAAAGCCUGACGCAGCAACGCCGCGUGGGCGAUGAAGGCCUUCGGGUCGUAAAGCCCUGUUGUCGGGGACGAAGGGCGAAGGGUUAAUAGCCCCUAGCCUGACGGUACCCGACGAGGAAGCCCCGGCUAACUACGUG